Halichondria panicea is the source of this 553-nucleotide long non-coding RNA. RefSeq lists it as uncharacterized. The transcript has 3 exons. The record is from RefSeq and is a predicted model, not a curated record. NCBI's taxonomy places the organism in Eukaryota, Metazoa, Porifera, Demospongiae, Suberitida, Halichondriidae.
GUAGAGUGCAGAAUUAGCGUUGAAGAUCAAGAGCCGUUAGUAGCCUGAAGAGAAGAGAUAGGCAACGCUGGGGCUACAGACAGCGCUGACAAUUGGCUGGCUCAUAGACUUCUUCCAGGGUUGGCUGCUGUUUUGAUGGACUUUGAAGAGCUUCCAUGAAAGCCUGUGUGUAAUACCACUCUUGGACCUCAGUGUCACCAGAGUGCUGUGCUCCAGGCCAAGUUGGACCAGUCUCUUUGUCUGGGCUGCAGUAAUGCUUGGCUUCCCCGGGCAUCAGAUUGGUGGAACCUCCGCUUUUGUGAGGUCCACACAGCUCCAUCUGCUUAUUAGCAGACCGAAUAGGGAGGCAGCUGAUCAGUGAAUGGUGUGUCGUAACUGCCUCCAUCGCCAGGACAUCUGGAAAUGAGCUUCUGACCAUUCUGCUAACUUGGUGGCAAGGAUCUCCAGCUUCUGAAGGAUGCGAUGCCAUUGUGUGCUGGAACAUGGUGGAAGACCCAACCAGCCACUCAACCGGAUGUAUCAACAUGCAGGUGGCCAUUGAGGAGAAAGGACA